Molecule: ribosomal RNA, 256 nt
Filed under: uncultured bacterium
Lineage: Bacteria
Description: partial 16S ribosomal RNA
Rfam family: Bacterial small subunit ribosomal RNA
Source: RNAcentral
AAGCAAAACAAGUGAUGUGGAGCAAAAACUCAAAAAGACGGUCUCAGUUCGGACUGAAGGCUGAAAUUCGCCUUCACGAAGUCGGAAUUGCUAGUAAUCGCAGAUCAGCAUGCUGCGGUGAAUACGUUCCCGGGCCUUGUACACACCGCCCGUCACACCAUGGGAGUCGGUAACACCCGAAGCCUGUAGUCUGACCUUUUGGAGGACGCAGUCGAAGGUGGGAUCGAUGACUGGGGUGAAGUCGUAACAAGGUACC